This 541-nucleotide long non-coding RNA is filed under the name Mytilus galloprovincialis (Mediterranean mussel). The record is from RNAcentral. Lineage: Eukaryota; Metazoa; Mollusca; Bivalvia; Mytilida; Mytilidae.
AAAUAACAAUAAAAGUUGGUAUAUAUUUACAUAUAAACAAAAUCAAAAAUCUUUAUCACAUUUCUAAAGCAAUGAACAAAUCAAUUGUUUCUGUAAAACCUUUCAUGAAGAUGGUCAGACCGUUUUCUUCCAUUGUCUUCUUCUUUAGACUUAAAACAACCUAACAGUUUUUUUUAAAAGCAUAGUAAAACUUGGAAUUUAAUAUAAAAUGAUCAAAUACAUGAAAUUUAAAAUGUAAAUUAGUUUGCAUAAAAAACCAAUAAACCAACUAUUUUUUAUUGAUAAUUUAUUUUCCUGACAGGAGUGGGAGUUUGAGAAUAUUAUUCUUCAGGAAACAAUUGGAUCCUCUUUUAAAGUGGUACCUAACACUACAGGGAGAUAACUCUGUAAAAUCAGCUUAAACGUUUUAAUUACGUUGUGUUUUGAGGGAAUAGUAAGCUUCCCAAUGAUCAAAAUAAGUGUUUGUCAAACUGCUAUAUAACCAGUGUAAUUUUUCUGAUAAAACGGUUAGUUAAAAAUUUUUGAAAUUUUUAUAUUUUUG